UAUCCCCCUUCCCCACCCCAUCAUUGCUGACCAGUGUAUAUCUCUGUACAUAGGUGUAUGAGAUAUACACUGGUCAGAAAUGAUGGGGUGGGGAAGGGGGAUA
Molecule: non-coding RNA, 103 nt
Organism: Paramuricea clavata
Lineage: Eukaryota; Metazoa; Cnidaria; Anthozoa; Malacalcyonacea; Plexauridae
Source: the annotation of a GenBank genome assembly